ACACACAACACCUGCUGUGAUGGUUGUGUUCUACUGCUGUUCUACUGCUCUGUUCUCCUGUUGUGUUCCAUUGUUGUGUUCUACUGUUGUGUACUAUUGUUGUGUUCCAUUGUUGUGUUCUACUGUUGUGUUUCUGUUCGUCUCCUCCUGCAGGUCACAGCAGUGAUUGACAGGUGUGUGGGUGGUCCUUACCUGUGUCCCUCCCUCCAGGAGUGAGGAAUGCUACCUGGCCUAUUUGCGGGGGCUGAAGCCGAUUGGUCGACUCACCUGGUUCGUAUUUACAGAUGAAGUUGUGCUUCAUGUUGCAGCGGUCGUCGUUCCAUUGAUAGAGAUAAGCCCCGCCCAGACCAGGCAGUGCAGUGGGCUGAUGGUACAUGACGACGCACGCCUCGCCGCCGCAGGACGGCUCGUCCAGGUGUGUCUCUGACAUCACACUCACCUGAAGGUGGCCACGCUACCGUCCGUCCACUGGUACAGCUGUGGACAGGAAGUGAAGGAGUUGCUGGGUUCAGUUUGAUCCACACGGGUCAGCCCGAUCCAGAAAUCUCCGUCAGAGAUCCCUCCUCUGCCAGCUGAGGCUCCGCCCACCGCACCUGAACGCAGCUCCUGACGAUGAGGAGGAGGACGAAGGUCAGGAGGGGAAGCAGAGGCAGUAGAAGACCAGGUGUGUGUCUCACCUGCAGAAGGUUUUCGAUGUCUCUCUGCUCUGUAGGACUCUGGAUGCUGAGCAGCGAUCCUCCGUCCAUCUCACAGGCCUGGACUGCCUCCCUGAAGGCCACACGGCUCGACACGUCCUGGAAAUACGCCAUCUUAUAGCACGGACUCUCGGGACCGCCCAUACACACCGUCUGACCUGUACACAAAGCCCCGCCUACGUCACUGGACCCAUGAUGUCAUCACUGGAUCAGUGACAUCAUCCUACCAGACUUCAGUGUGCUGCCUGGAACUAUAACAGGUCUUAAAUAAGUUAUUAUUUUAAUAAUUAAAUCAUAUAAAUAUUCCAGAA
Long non-coding RNA from Acanthochromis polyacanthus (spiny chromis), 1006 nucleotides. RefSeq lists it as uncharacterized. The transcript has 3 exons. The record is from RefSeq and is a predicted model, not a curated record. Lineage: Eukaryota; Metazoa; Chordata; Actinopteri; Pomacentridae.